GACGAACGCUGGCGGCGUGCUUAACACAUGCAAGUCGAACGGAAAGGCCCUGCUUUUGUGGGGUGCUCGAGUGGCGAACGGGUGAGUAACACGUGAGUAACCUGCCCUUGACUUUGGGAUAACUUCAGGAAACUGGGGCUAAUACCGGAUAGGAGCUCCUGCUGCAUGGUGGGGGUUGGAAAGUUUCGGCGGUUGGGGAUGGACUCGCGGCUUAUCAGCUUGUUGGUGGGGUAGUGGCUUACCAAGGCUUUGACGGGUAGCCGGCCUGAGAGGGUGACCGGCCACAUUGGGACUGGGAUACGGCCCAGACUCCUACGGGAGGCAGCAGUGGGGAAUAUUGAACAAUGGGCGGAAGCCUGAUGCAGCAACGCCGCGUGCGGGAUGACGGCCUUCGGGUUGUAAACCGCUUUCGCCUGUGACGAAGCGUGAGUGACGGUAAUGGGUAAAGAAGCACCGGCUAACUACGU
RNAcentral lists this ribosomal RNA (467 nucleotides) under uncultured bacterium. Its description in RNAcentral is "partial 16S ribosomal RNA". It matches the Rfam family "Bacterial small subunit ribosomal RNA", at positions 28 to 506 of the family's 1533-position model. The record is from RNAcentral.